CUACGGGGCGCUGCAGUGAGGAAUUUUGCGCAAUGGGGGGAACCCUGACGCAGCAACGCCGCGUGAGUGAUGAAGGCUUUCGGGUCGUAAAGCUCUGUCAAGUGGGAAGAACCUAUGCAGUGUUAAUAUCACUGUAUACUGACGGUACCACUGAAGGAAGCACCGGCUAACUCCGUGCCAGCAGCCGCGGUAAUACGGGGGGUGCAAGCGUUAUUCGGAAUCAUUGGGCGUAAAGGGCACGUAGGCGGCUUGGUAAGUCAGAUGUGAAAGCCCGGGGCUUAACCCCGGAAGUGCAUUUGAUACUGUCAGGCUUGAGUAUGGGAGAGGGAAGUGGAAUUCCUGGUGUAGAGGUGAAAUUCGUAGAUAUCAGGAGGAACACCGGUGGCGAAGGCGACUUCCUGGACCAAUACUGACGCUGAGGUGCGAAGGCGUGGGUAGCAAACAGGAUUAGAUACCCGGGUAGUC
This 465-nucleotide ribosomal RNA is filed under the name uncultured bacterium. Its description in RNAcentral is "partial 16S ribosomal RNA". It matches the Rfam family "Bacterial small subunit ribosomal RNA", at positions 339 to 795 of the family's 1533-position model. The record is from RNAcentral.